GAUGAACGCUGGCGGCGUGCCUAAUACAUGCAAGUCGAGCGAACGGACGAGAAGCUUGCUUCUCUGAUGUUAGCGGCGGACGGGUGAGUAACACGUGGAUAACCUACCUAUAAGACUGGGAUAACUUCGGGAAACCGGAGCUAAUACCGGAUAAUAUUUUGAACCGCAUGGUUCAAAAGUGAAAGACGGUCUUGCUGUCACUUAUAGAUGGAUCCGCGCUGCAUUAGCUAGUUGGUAAGGUAACGGCUUACCAAGGCAACGAUGCAUAGCCGACCUGAGAGGGUGAUCGGCCACACUGGAACUGAGACACGGCCCAGACUCCUACGGGAGGCAGCAGUGGGAAUCUUCCGCAAUGGGCGAAAGCCUGGCGGAGCAACGCCGCGUGAGUGAUGAAGGUCUUCGGAUCGUAAAACUCUGUUAUUAGGGAAGAACAUAUGUGUAAGUAACUGUGCACAUCUUGACGGUACCUAAUCAGAAAGCCACGGCUAACUACGUG
RNAcentral lists this ribosomal RNA (496 nucleotides) under uncultured bacterium. RNAcentral describes it as "partial 16S ribosomal RNA". It matches the Rfam family "Bacterial small subunit ribosomal RNA", at positions 28 to 507 of the family's 1533-position model. The record is from RNAcentral.